AAAAGAUGGAAACAAACCCAACAUCCUGCAAGUGGUGAUGGAUACACUAUUUAAGGCCCAGUCGCACAAAGGAAUAUUACACAGCCAUGAAAAAUCUCAGAGUGCAUUAAUAAUUUUUUUUUCUGACAGCUCUUUGAUGCGGUGGCACUUUGAAGCCCCCACAAAAAUGGAUGCCUUCACUUCACAAUGGAUUAAUCCACUGAUGCACCAUAUGAGAAGAAGCUCUUGAUCCUUCCUGCACCCUAAUGUUCUUUACCAAGUCAGGUUCUUCUACAUCGAUGAGAUAGAGAACUAGCCUUUAAGUUUGGGAUCUGUCUUUGUUUUCUGUUGCUAUAACAAAACAUCUGAGGCUCAGUAUCUUCUACAGAGGUUUAUUGAGCUCACGAUUUUGGUGGCGGGAGAUUCAAACAGCGUAAAAUUUGGCUGCCUUUUAAUGUGUGUCCUGAACCUAUAUAUAGAGCUUUUUCUCCUAAUUAUUCUGCAUCAAUUGAGUGUGAGGGUUAUUUGCAGAGCAUUUAUGCAGUAUUAGUAUUAUAAGUCAUGUAGAGGUGUACGUAGGAUGGUGAGCACAGGGCACACGCAGAUAAAAUCUCAUUUUUUAUUUAAAGCACUGGACUUGGGUACCUUCAGGGGUAUUGGGUGUCCAUCACCAGCAAAAUUAUAAGAUUCAGUUCCUGCAAAAAUGGAGCUGUAACACUGGAGGAUUUCAGGCUAGAAGACAAAACAGAAAACCAGUUGUUCCAAAGGAGCUUGGCAUACUGAUGGCCAGUGGUGGGUGGAAAGCACAUUGGCACCUGUUGGUUUGCUGAGGACCCAGAAAUCUGGAAUAUAAUGGUUUGGCCAUUUGGGGGCCAGCUGGGAGGCUUGGAUGGGCCAUCCACACUCCGAGGUCAGUGCUAAGCUAGCCGAUGUUUUCUGACCAUCUGACUUUUCUCUCUGUCCAAUGGUACUUCCCUUCACGUCUGUUGGUGCCCAGCCUAUAUUUCACCUCCAAAUUCACGGCGGCGUUGACUUUUGGAGAAGCCCAUUUGCAAGAGUUGGAGAGGUCUGAGCCCAGGAGCAAGCGUUGCUGACCUCUGAGGAAGGAAACAAAAUGGCGGCCAGAGAGCAAAUCCUGUGCCCCCUGGCUGGGAAGGAGGGUGCCAUAGCUGUGGGAGCUGGGGAAGAAGGAAGGAUUGGUGAGAACCAAUGGUCCAGAUGAGGAAGACAUUCAGUGGUGUGACUUCUGGUGGGGCCCCAUGGGAUGGGACCUCACCACCAUGGGUGACCCAUCUGGGAUUGGACAGGCAUGGAAGAAAUCACAGCCAUGACUUGGCUUUGGAUGGGUAAUGAUAAGGACUGAUGAUGUCCUCUGGAAAAAUAAGGAGCAGCUAAGAGACUAAGCACAGUUGAUUGGAAGCCACCUGAGAAAAUCCAAGAUGUUCUUUGGUGACAAAGUCUCCUCUUCCUUCCCAGGAGAAGGCAGAGAAAAUGGGACCAACCUUAGGAUCCAAGAGUCUACGCUUCCAAGAGGAUAAAUACCCAUCAAUGGUCAUUUCUCAAUCCGAGCUCAAAGCAUUGACUAGGGAACUUGGGAUUCUGAUAAAUGGGGUAGAGAUCUUCGGGCGAAUGUCUCCAGGGUCUUCCUGAACUUUCUCAACUUCCCCAAGGCGCCCGAUUCUCUGGGAAUUGCUGGAAGUCCUUCCGAGAUCCAUGACAACCCAGAGUUGGCUUCUCCAAAAGUUAUCAGCGACCCCAGCUCUCCUCUAAAACCUUUCGAUUGAAAACGAGAGUUUGGGCUCAGUUGUUAUAGCAGCGGGGAUAGACUGAGACGUGCACUUUGAAUAUUUUCCAUGCAGAUCAAUAUUGUCUAUUUUUCCAUCUCCUCUAUGUAUAAAAGGGCAUUAUUUAGGGAUGUGUUCUCUCUUCUGUAUUAGAAUGGAAAUUAUUCCUCUCUGUAGAGCUCCUGUUGCAUGAAAGACCCUCAACAUGGAUUUGUAAUGACAUCAAAGGACACCACCUAGCACAGGGUCUAGGCAUUGAGAGGUGUUCUUUCAAGACCAUGAGGGGAUGUGUCUUUUCUUCAGAAAUCCCCAGACCAAGCUCUGCAGUGUGUAUCAAGGGAUGCUAAUCUGCAUCUGAAUCCCCAAGGGAAGAACAAAGUAGUUGCUCCGAACACACCCGGCACAUUCUUCCGGCAGAUUCCACCUGCCCUCGUAGGUUCUGGGAAACUUGAGACCCAUGAUUUCCUCAUGAGGGGAGUCUUUUCGCUCAUUUUAAGAUUUCCUUUCUCAAGGCCAGGUACAAGUUGGGGAUCUGAGCUCCAUUUUGCAAAAUGACCUUGGUGACCUCGGAUUUCCUGAGAACUGACCCACAGAACAGCCGAAGUGUGUGGAAUAAUCACUGAAAACGGAAGCCAAUAUUUGGGCUCAUUUCCGACCACAGAUGAUGACAAAUGGCCCUCAAUAAUCACAUAGUUGAGAAAAUGCUAGUGUCCCUCAACACUUGCCAUGGGUGGGAGGUAGAUGGA
RNAcentral lists this long non-coding RNA (2509 nucleotides) under Marmota monax (woodchuck). Lineage: Eukaryota; Metazoa; Chordata; Mammalia; Rodentia; Sciuridae. The record is from RNAcentral.